GGUGUGUGAAAAGCCUUUGGUUGUAAAGCACUUUAAGCGAGGAGGAGGCUACUUUAGAUAAUACCUAGAGAUAGUGGACGUUACUCGCAGAAUAAGCACCGGCUAACUCUGUGCCAGCAGCCGCGGUAAUACAGAGGGUGCAAGCGUUAAUCGGAUUUACUGGGCGUAAAGCGCGCGUAGGCGGCUAAUUAAGUCAAAUGUGAAAUCCCCGAGCUUAACUUGGGAAUUGCAUUCGAUACUGGUUAGCUAGAGUGUGGGAGAGGAUGGUAGAAUUCCAGGUGUAGCGGUGAAAUGCGUAGAGAUCUGGAGGAAUACCGAUGGCGAAGGCAGCCAUCUGGCCUAACACUGACGCUGAGGUGCGAAAGCAUGGGGAGCAAACAGGAUUAGAUACCCUGGUAGUCCAUGCCGUAAACGAUGUCUACUAGCCGUUGGGGCCUUUGAGGCUUUAGUGGCGCAGCUAACGCGAUAAGUAGACGCCUGGGGAGUACGGUCGCAAGACUUAAAAUCCAAUGAAUUGACGGGGGCCCGC
RNAcentral lists this ribosomal RNA (529 nucleotides) under uncultured bacterium. Its description in RNAcentral is "bacterial SSU rRNA". It matches the Rfam family "Bacterial small subunit ribosomal RNA", at positions 400 to 924 of the family's 1533-position model. The record is from RNAcentral.